UCUUGUUUCUUCUCUUUUGCGAUUUCAGUCACCAUCACCCCCAACUCUCUCGUUUCUUAAUCGAUUUUGUUGAUUCAAAAAUCUAUUUCACUAGAUUUUGGCUCAAGAAUCCAUCUGUAUCACUCUCACUCUCUUUCUAUUUUUCCGACUUUCUCUUCGUCUCUCUCUCUCUCUCUCUUUGGCGAGUGUCGAUGGAAGAAAUCGGAACAAUUAAAUUCACUCCACCGGCAGCAUCGGUUGAUCAAAUCCGUCGUUAUCAUCAUCUCUGUGGUUUUAGGGUUGAUCAAAUUCGACGUUAUCAUCAAAUCCUUAUGUUGAUCAAAUUCGACGUUAUGAUGCAUCAAUCUGUUUGUAUAUUGGAGCAUCAUGUCAAAACUUGUCAUGGUUCAGUUUCAGUUGUAGUUUAUAGAGAUCAGCGCUGAUCACUUAUCCAGACGUAACACUAAACUAUUUGUCGUGUUUCCAAGGAUUGUUUCUCUGCCCUGAAGCAGUCUCCUUACUGCUCCAUAAUUUCUGCAUUUACCAUCUUAGUCCCCUAGGACAUGAGAGUUUUUGCAGUUUGGAGCUGCUCCAGUUUGUUCCAAUGAUCUGUAGCCUUCUGUUGAAGACCUCGCAGACCAGAUUCUUGAGUAUUUAACUUUUUUAGCCUCGAUGCAGUAAUGUGCAUGGGGAUCACUGCUGGUGCCUACAUCCAUUCCUUGUUUGAUGUAUGUACUCAUUGAGACUUUUUGAGGAUUUAUUUGUAGCUAUAUUCUCAGAACUUCAUACAAUAUCUCAUUACUUAAUUUUUUAUUUUAUUUUUAAUGACCCCAA
Camelina sativa (false flax) is the source of this 813-nucleotide non-coding RNA. Lineage: Eukaryota; Viridiplantae; Streptophyta; Magnoliopsida; Brassicales; Brassicaceae. The record is from RefSeq and is a predicted model, not a curated record.